GUGAGUAUAAGGUGUGAUACCUUCUAAAUUGGGGGGUUGCAACAUCGACCGACCUUGAUCUUCUGUGAAGGGUUUGAGUAAGAGCAUAUUGUUACGACCGAAGAUGGUGAACUAUACUUGAGCAGCCUGAAGCCUGAGGAAACUCAGGUGGAAGGGCGCAGCGGUACUGACGUGCAAAUCGUUCGUCAGACUUGAGUAUAGGGGCGAAAGACUAAUCGAACCAUCUAGUAGCUGGUUCCCCUCUGAAAAUUUUCUCUCAGGAUAGCUGGAACAAUUUCAAGCAGUUUUAUCAGGUAAAGCGAAUGAUUAGAGGACUCGGAGCUCAAAGAGCUUUGACCUAUUCUCAAACUUUAAAUUGGUAAGAUCUAUUAGUUCUCUUAAUUGAACUGGUAGGCAGAAUGCAUUGUUCCAAGUGGGGCUUAUCGUGGUAAGCAUGUUAAGCAAUGAGGGAUGAACCUAACGCUGAGAUAAGGCGCCAAAAU
RNAcentral lists this ribosomal RNA (482 nucleotides) under uncultured eukaryote. RNAcentral's name for it is "eukaryotic LSU rRNA". It matches the Rfam family "Eukaryotic large subunit ribosomal RNA", at positions 725 to 1194 of the family's 3401-position model. The record is from RNAcentral.